GACGAACGCUGGCGGCGUGCUUAACACAUGCAAGUCGAACGCUGAAGCUCAGCUUGCUGGGUGGAUGAGUGGCGAACGGGUGAGGAACACGUGAGUAACCUGCCCUCUUCUUUGGGAUAACGCCCGGAAACGGGUGCUAAUACUGGAUAUUCACUGAUUCUCGCAUGGGGGUUGGUGGAAAGGUUUUUUCUGGUGGGGGAUGGGCUCGCGGCCUAUCAGCUUGUUGGUGGGGUGAUGGCCUACCAAGGCUUUGACGGGGAGCCGGCCUGAGAGGGUGACCGGUCACAUUGGGACUGAGAUACGGCCCAGACUCCUACGGGAGGCAGCAGUGGGGAAUAUUGCCCAAUGGGCGAAAGCCUGAUGCAGCGACGCCGCGUGAGGGAUGGAGGCCUUCGGGUUGUAAACCUCUUUCGCUCAUGGUCAAGCCGCAGCUUUGGGUUGUGGUGAGGGUAGUGGGUAAAGAAGCGCCGGCUAACUACGUG
RNAcentral lists this ribosomal RNA (482 nucleotides) under uncultured bacterium. Its description in RNAcentral is "partial 16S ribosomal RNA". It matches the Rfam family "Bacterial small subunit ribosomal RNA", at positions 28 to 507 of the family's 1533-position model. The record is from RNAcentral.